Mesocricetus auratus (golden hamster) is the source of this 1886-nucleotide long non-coding RNA. RefSeq lists it as uncharacterized. Lineage: Eukaryota; Metazoa; Chordata; Mammalia; Rodentia; Cricetidae. The record is from RefSeq and is a predicted model, not a curated record. The transcript has 3 exons.
UCUGAAGCAAACACAAAGGAGACACUUCAUAUGGCAUACUGGAGGGGGACAUAAUUCUCUGCGGGCUUCUUCAAAUAGCCAGUCAUCUCGUAGCAGUGGACGUUGAUUCUAUUGACACCCAAGGGGCUUCCUGGCUACUCCCGUCACUCAAACGCUCGGGAGCUCUCAGGGCCGGUGCUGUGAAGCUUGGCGGAUGUUCUCUAACCUCCCCCUGACCUUUGCAUCCUGGACCGCAGAGGUGUUCUAGAGGCGUGACAGAGCUACAGGUGGAGAACCUGACUCACUCAGGUCAGGUCCUCUUCUGGUGACCCUGCCCGAGAGGCCUGACUGAAGCGUCUCUCUCUGGAAACCUUGGGGUCUGUCUUCAGCAGCUCUCAGGGCCACCAUCACCAGCUGGUGGACUGGCCGAGCGGCAUUGAGUACUCUGUGUGCCUAGCAUCCCAGGGUAGCCGGCAGGGCUGAGUCAGCUGUGGGGGGUCUCAGACGCAGCCCCUAGGUAAGGCAGAACUUGAUGGGCGAGAGCAAGCCCGAGACAGACAGCAGCCUGGGCCAUCUGCUGCUCAGUCCCAGCUCCUGGCUUCUCUUCUCCGAGCCUCUGGAGGAGGUACUGUCAUUUGUUUAGGCCUCUGCAGUGUUUAAUCAUCACACAACACUCCUGCUUCCCGCUUCCCUCCGCCUCUCCAGCCCCUGCUUCCUUCCUGCAGGCAACAGCUUUUACCUUCAGCCUCUGAUGGAGGCCAUGAAAAAUUAACAGAGCUUGAGGCGAAAGAGACACUCAAAAAACACUGGGGCAGGAGGGGCUGGAGCAGCACCAGCAGGGCAAGCUUGAGGCCUGAGGGGGGCUGCUCUGGCUAGACAAUCGGCAACCCUGCAAGGCCACGGGGGUCACGCAUGGUGGUCAGCAGGCUGGAGCAAGUCCAGCUGCCCGUAGGGAGCCAGACUUCACAGUUUGGACUACCCUGGGAUCCUGAACCCGGGGAGAGUCUGAGGGUGAGAGUAGUUUCUUUCUCUGACCUUAACAGAGCCGGGUCCUUAACAGAAGGCCAGCAGCGUAUGCUAGACAGAAACCAGCACAUCCCCUUUUUUCUGCCAUCCAGACAGUCCUGGGGCCAGUGAGCCCUAUGUCUGUUCUCCUGGCCCCCAGAGGCUUUGAGGGCAAGAGCACGUGACAGGGGAAUCUACCCUCUUUGAGGGAGAAAAAAAUGGCAUUUUAUUUUUACAAAGUACAUAAUAAAUCCACAUUCCUCGUACAGCAAGCAGAUAUAAACAGAGGCAGCAAGAGCUCCAGAUCCACAGUUCUCCCAAUACCUGAUCCACCUCCCCGUUCUCUUCCUGAAGAGGCUAUGCAUGCAAUGCAUACAAUUAGAGUGGUGGAAACUGUUGUUGUUGACACCACCCCCACUUCCUCUCAGCAGGGGACCACUGCUGUUGGAGGUUUUUUUUUUUUCUUUCCCUUGCAGAGCUUUUCAAUCAUAGACUCACAGCAAAAACGUUUUGACCCCAUGCAGACACUUAUUUUGGGGUGCUCCUUCACCACCACCUCCUCCUCCUCCUCAGCCGGGGCUUCCUCCCAGGCCCUGGGCUCACCGCCUGCCGGCCCUGCUGCACCGCUCGGAACUCUGGGCUACCUGCUACUUAACAGAAGUUUCUUAGCCGACUUUCCCACUCCCCACCUGGAACAACACCAAGGUUUCUCUGUGUGGCUUCCACCGCCACACCUGUAGCGAGUGUGGGCAGAUGAGAAACACUACUGUUAGGCAGCCAGGUGUGCGGCGAGGGAGGAAGGAGCCCUUUCUACGAGCUGUCCCCUUUCAAGAAUGGAGAUUUCAGACCAAACACAUCGUGAAUUCCCAGAGGGCAGGACACUGUCUUCUCUAUGCGCCGCA